CAGUCGCCGCGGUAAUACGGAGGGUGCAAGCGUUAAUCGGAAUUACUGGGCGUAAAGCGUGCGUAGGCGGUUCGUUAAGUCUGUUGUGAAAGCCCCGGGCUCAACCUGGGAAUGGCAAUGGAUACUGGCGAGCUAGAGUGUGUCAGAGGAAGGUGGAAUUCCCGGUGUAGCGGUGAAAUGCGUAGAGAUCGGGAGGAACAUCAGUGGCGAAGGCGGCCAUCUGGGACAACACUGACGCUGAGGCACGAAAGCGUGGGGAGCAAACAGGAUUAGAUACCCCGGUAGUCCCUGUCUCUUAUAC
This 301-nucleotide ribosomal RNA is filed under the name uncultured bacterium. RNAcentral's name for it is "partial 16S ribosomal RNA". It matches the Rfam family "Bacterial small subunit ribosomal RNA", at positions 509 to 807 of the family's 1533-position model. The record is from RNAcentral.